GUAAUGUUUCUUGCUCAAAUGAGUAUUCCAAUCACAGUUGCAUUUUGCAUACACAAUCUCCUUUGCUUUUCUUUCAGUAUCUCCACUGUAAAUUUUGUGGUUGCUGAUGCUGCUGUGUCUCUGAGAUGCUCAUUUGAGCAAGUAAUGUUAU
Molecule: non-coding RNA, 151 nt
Organism: Manihot esculenta (cassava)
Lineage: Eukaryota; Viridiplantae; Streptophyta; Magnoliopsida; Malpighiales; Euphorbiaceae
Source: Rfam